RNAcentral lists this ribosomal RNA (510 nucleotides) under uncultured bacterium. RNAcentral's name for it is "partial 16S ribosomal RNA". The stretch from base 21 to 333 matches the Rfam family "Bacterial small subunit ribosomal RNA", at positions 47 to 358 of the family's 1533-position model. The record is from RNAcentral.
GGACGAACGCUGGCGGCGUGCUUAACACAUGCAAGUCGAACGGAAAGGCCCUGCUUUUGUGGGGUGCUCGAGUGGCGAACGGGUGAGUAACACGUGAGUAACCUGCCCUUGACUUUGGGAUAACUUCAGGAAACUGGGGCUAAUACCGGAUAGGAGCUCCUGCUGCAUGGUGGGGGUUGGAAAGUUUCGGCGGUUGGGGAUGGACUCGCGGCUUAUCAGCUUGUUGGUGGGGUAGUGGCUUACCAAGGCUUUGACGGGUAGCCGGCCUGAGAGGGUGACCGGAACGAGCGAGACGGAGGGCGGCCGAGGACGCGGACGGGAGGGAGCAGGGGGAAAGAUGGUAGGGGGGGCGGAGCAUGGGGGAAGCACGGGGGGGGGGGGGCGGAGGGGUGGGGGGUGGCAGCCAGCUUCGGCCGGGGCGGAGGGGGGGGUGUGGGGAAGGGGAAAAGAAGCACCGUCUAACUACGGGCCAGAAGCCGCGAAAAUAGGCGGAACAGCACACGUCUGAUC